Molecule: ribosomal RNA, 429 nt
Filed under: Fusobacteriota bacterium
Lineage: Bacteria; Fusobacteriati; Fusobacteriota
Description: Fusobacteria bacterium partial 16S ribosomal RNA
Rfam family: Bacterial small subunit ribosomal RNA
Source: RNAcentral
UGGGGAAUAUUGCGCAAUGGGCGAAAGCCUGACGCAGCGACGCCGCGUGAGGGAUGAAGGUUUUCGGAUCGUAAACCUCUGUUAGAAGGGAAGAAACCGCACUGUGCUAAUCAGCAGUGCCUUGACGGAACCUUCAAAGGAAGCACCGGCUAACUCCGUGCCAGCAGCCGCGGUAAUACGGAGGGUGCAAGCGAUACUCGGAAUUACUGGGCGUAAAGCGCACGUAGGCUGCUUUGUAAGUCAGGGGUGAAAUCCCACGGCUCAACCGUGGAACUGCCUUUGAUACUGCUUAGCUUGAAUCCGGGAGGGGGUGGCGGAAUUCCAAGUGUAGGGGUGAAAUCCGUAGAUAGCUGGAGGAACAUCAGUGGCGAAGGCGGCCACCUGGAACGGUAUUGACGCUGAGGUGCGAAAGCGUGGGGAGCAAACAGG